CCCUUGCAGAUGUCGCCUUGUGCUUCCUCGUGCUCCCCGUGUCAUCCUGGGGCUUGGUUUGUUGACUGUGGCUGCACCGGGCUUGUGCUUUGCAGUGAACCUCAGGAGAUCAGACAUAAUGCCAGCAUCCGUCUCUGUCUUCCAUGCGGAACCUGAUUGGGUUGGUGGGCUUGGGGAAACGUGACCAUAACCACGUCCAUGUCUCCUGCGGCCGUGACCACGACCCCUGCGCUAGCGGCUACGGUCACCUCUUUUUGCAACACUCCUAUCUGAUGAGUGCAUCGCUGUGCUGGGUGUAAUCAUGUCUCGGACUAUUUGCUGGAAGAUGGGGGAGAUGGCUGUCUGUCCCCUCCUCUGUGGUCUUUGCUGGGAUGUUGUAGGAUUGUGUCUGUUCUGGGACAGUGGGGAGAGAAGCUCCUCUUCUUCUCCUUCUCCUCUUGGGACUCUCUCUGGAAGUGUUGGACUGUUGUGAAGAUCCUGGAGGGGAUGUCUGUGUAGGAAAGGAUAGUUGUGGUUGGUCAGAGGCAAACGGCCUUCCUCUUCUCCUCAUCCUUACACUCUGUUGGCGGCCCACCUCGUCAGCAUCCACACUAUAACAUGAAAAUGAAUAAUGUUUUUAUUUACUGGGUAAUAAUUACUCAACGCCUAAAACACACACACUUCCCCAGUGGCCUAAUCCUCCUCUCCUCAUUAAAACAUGUCUCUCCCAUUGACUGUUUCUCUUGUUUAACACGGAAGAAAACAAAAUGUUUUUUGUGGAAACUUUUCAGGAGUAAUAAUGCUCUAAAAACAUGAUCUGUAUUAAAGUCCAACUGAAAUUAAAUAAUUGUUACAUAUCUGCUCUGUA
Molecule: long non-coding RNA, 847 nt
Organism: Cottoperca gobio
Lineage: Eukaryota; Metazoa; Chordata; Actinopteri; Perciformes; Bovichtidae
Exons: 2
Source: RefSeq, a predicted model, not a curated record